GCAGAGCAUUCCUCGGGAGGCAGCAGUGGGGAAUAUUGCACAAUGGGCGCAAGCCUGAUGCAGCCAUGCCGCGUGUAUGAAGAAGGCCUUCGGGUUGUAAAGUACUUUCAGCAGUGAGGAAGGUGGGUAUGUUAAUAGCAUAUUCAUUUGACGUUAGCUGCAGAAGAAGCACCGGCUAACUCCGUGCCAGCAGCCGCGGUAAUACGGAGGGUGCGAGCGUUAAUCGGAAUUACUGGGCGUAAAGCGCAUGCAGGUGGUUUGUUAAGUCAGAUGUGAAAGCCCGGGGCUCAACCUCGGAAUUGCAUUUGAAACUGGCAAACUAGAGUACUGUAGAGGGGGUAGAAUUUCAGGUGUAGCGGUGAAAUGCGUAGAGAUCUGAAGGAAUACCGGUGGCGAAGGCGGCCCCCUGGACAGAUACUGACACUCAGAUGCGAAAGCGUGGGGAGCAAACAGGAUUAGAUACCCUGGUAG
Molecule: ribosomal RNA, 471 nt
Filed under: uncultured bacterium
Lineage: Bacteria
Description: bacterial SSU rRNA
Rfam family: Bacterial small subunit ribosomal RNA
Source: RNAcentral